UACAGAGACUGCAAGCGUUAUUCGGAUUCACUGGGCGUAAAGGGUGCGCAGGCGGUCGGGUGUGUCAGAUGUGAAAUCCCGAGGCUCAACCUCGGAACUGCGUCUGAAACUACUCGACUAGAGUACUGGAGAGGGUAACGGAAUUCACGGUGUAGCAGUGAAAUGCGUAGAUAUCGUGAGGAACGUCAAUGGCGAAGGCAGCCACCUGGCAUCAUACUGACGCUGAGGCGCGAAAGCGUGGGGAGCGAACAGG
This 253-nucleotide ribosomal RNA is filed under the name uncultured bacterium. RNAcentral's name for it is "partial 16S ribosomal RNA". It matches the Rfam family "Bacterial small subunit ribosomal RNA", at positions 524 to 776 of the family's 1533-position model. The record is from RNAcentral.